Molecule: ribosomal RNA, 422 nt
Filed under: uncultured prokaryote
Description: bacterial SSU rRNA
Rfam family: Bacterial small subunit ribosomal RNA
Source: RNAcentral
UGAGGAAUAUUGGUCAAUGGGCGAGAGCCUGAACCAGCCAUUCCGCGUGAAGGAAGAAGGCCCUACGGGUUGUAAACUUCUUUUCUAUAAGAAGAAAUGCCCUGAUGUAUCGGGGUUUGACGGUAUUAUAGGAAUAAGCAUCGGCUAACUCCGUGCCAGCAGCCGCGGUAAUACGGAGGAUGCAAGCGUUAUCCGGAUUUAUUGGGUUUAAAGGGUGCGCAGGUUGUUUUAUAAGUCAGUGGUGAAAGUCUGCCGCUUAACGGAAGGAUUGCCAUUGAUACUAUAGGACUUGAGUAUGGAUGAGGUAGGCGGAAUGUGUAGUGUAGCGGUGAAAUGCAUAGAUAUUACACAGAACACCGAUUGCGAAGGCAGCUUACUAGGCCAUUACUGACGCUGAGGCACGAAAGCGUGGGGAUCAAACA